RNAcentral lists this ribosomal RNA (115 nucleotides) under Salvia splendens (bonfire salvia). Lineage: Eukaryota; Viridiplantae; Streptophyta; Magnoliopsida; Lamiales; Lamiaceae. The record is from RNAcentral.
GCGAUCAUACCAGCACUAAUGCACCAGAUCCCAUCAGAACUCCAAAGUUAAGCGUGCUUGUCCGAGAGUAGUACUAGGAUGGGUGACCCCCUUGUAAGUCCUCGUGUUGCACCCC